GAUGAACGCUGGCGGCGUGCCUAAUACAUGCAAGUCGAGCGAACAGAUAAGGAGCUUGCUCCUUUGACGUUAGCGGCGGACGGGUGAGUAACACGUGGAUAACCUACCUAUAAGACUGGGAUAACUUCGGGAAACCGGAGCUAAUACCGGAUAACAUAUUGAACCGCAUGGUUCAAUAGUGAAAGGCGGCUUUGCUGUCACUUAUAGAUGGAUCCGCGCCGUAUUAGCUAGUUGGUAAGGUAACGGCUUACCAAGGCAACGAUACGUAGCCGACCUGAGAGGGUGAUCGGCCACACUGGAACUGAGACACGGUCCAGACUCCUACGGGAGGCAGCAGUAGGGAAUCUUCCGCAAUGGGCGAAAGCCUGACGGAGCAACGCCGCGUGAGUGAUGAAGGUCUUCGGAUCGUAAAACUCUGUUAUCAGGGAAGAACAAAUGUGUAAGUAACUAUGCACAUCUUGACGGUACCUGAUCAGAAAGCCACGGCUAACUACGUG
RNAcentral lists this ribosomal RNA (497 nucleotides) under uncultured bacterium. RNAcentral's name for it is "partial 16S ribosomal RNA". It matches the Rfam family "Bacterial small subunit ribosomal RNA", at positions 28 to 507 of the family's 1533-position model. The record is from RNAcentral.